This 377-nucleotide long non-coding RNA is filed under the name Spirodela polyrhiza (greater duckweed). RNAcentral's name for it is "long non-coding RNA (SPOL_LNC001106)". Lineage: Eukaryota; Viridiplantae; Streptophyta; Magnoliopsida; Alismatales; Araceae. The record is from RNAcentral.
GCUGAGGGUUGGCGGCGAUGGUCGACUCGUGGUCGACUGCACCGGAGAGGGCGCCCUCUUCGUCGAGGCCAUCUCGGAGUUCACCCUCGCCGAGUUCGGAGACUUCGGGCCAUCAGACGAGAACCGGAGGUUGCUCGUUCCCACUGCGAGCUCCAACGACCCGCCAUUGUUCCUCAUUCAGGUCAUCUCUCCAUCACCUCCUGUCUCUAGGGAAUGAAUAGAUAAACAGUUUAGGAGUUUGUGAUGCGCUCAACUUACUACUACAGGUAACGGCGUUCAGGUGUGGUGGAGUCUGCGUGGGCGCCGCUGUACAUCACACUCUGGCCGACGGCCUCGCUGCUCUCAACUUCAUCAACUCCUGGGCUGAUCUCACCCGG